UUCUGCCCUAGGAGCGAAACCACCUAAACAAGGCCAUGUACACAAGGGCUGUUUGGAAGGAGGGUGAACAAGAGGAGGAGGGUGUAGUUCCUGACAACUGGAUCGACAGGAACAAUAGAACAGUUAGAUGGCCACUAAUGAGUGCCACAAAAAUAGAAAGAGCUCUAAGGGACAAAAUUAACCCCCAGGAUGACUGGAUGAUGUACCCAUUAAUUAAGAUAAAAAUUACUUCAGCUAAGCGCUGUGAAUGCAACAACUACAACCUGACCAGUCAAGCAGAGGAGGAUGACGAUGAUGAGCCAAUUAGAUCAACAAGGAAACGGACUAAAAAAGGAAUUCCAGAGGGUUUUGUAAGAAAUGAAUUGACUGAUUCAGAUGAGGAGAGCAUCAGUGGUAGUGAUUUUCUAUAAUUAAUUUAUAAUUCCAGUUUCAAAAUUACUCAGGUUCUUUAACAAGAUUAUCCCAUUUUUUUUAGAUUGACAUGCUUUUCACAUUACCUCUGUACAGAUGUCAAGUUGGCCAACUACCCUACUCCACCAAGGAAGCUGCCGCCCAUUCAGGACACCAAAAUGAAUCAUGAAUCAGGCUUAAAUCAUGCUUGUGGGUACUGUGGUAGUGUGGGUGGUGUGGUCAGGAGGUACCGCUGUCGAAUAGCGACGUAAAGGCAAAGGAGGCGCUUGGAGCAGUUGUAAACUGUUC
RNAcentral lists this long non-coding RNA (699 nucleotides) under Astyanax mexicanus (Mexican tetra). Its description in RNAcentral is "lncRNA (ENSAMXG00005014668.1)". Lineage: Eukaryota; Metazoa; Chordata; Actinopteri; Characiformes; Acestrorhamphidae. The record is from RNAcentral.